Molecule: long non-coding RNA, 258 nt
Filed under: Elaeis guineensis (African oil palm)
Lineage: Eukaryota; Viridiplantae; Streptophyta; Magnoliopsida; Arecales; Arecaceae
Description: long non-coding RNA (EGUI_LNC023199)
Source: RNAcentral
AUAGAUAGAGUACCGUUGAUACUUGAUCAGAGGAUUGAAGGAAUGUUAAUUGUAAUUAUGCAAGUUUUAUGAAUUAUUGUUGAAAUUAAAUAUUAUGGUUGAUAAGAUUGUAAUGAUUUAAUUUGGCCUUGCAUAUUCUUUAGGGCUUGCUCUAAGGAGUGUGCGGCCAUCACGUAUCCGACCCGAGUGUUGGGUUCGGGGCGUGACAACAAGACUACCACCACGCAGCCGGAGCGUCCUCCAAUAUGGAUGUCGGGA